UGGCGGACGGGUGAGUAAUGUCUGGGAAACUGCCCGAUGGAGGGGGAUAACUACUGGAAACGGUAGCUAAUACCGCAUAACGUCGCAAGACCAAAGAGGGGACCUUCGGGCCUCUUGCCAUCGGAUGUUCCCAGAUGGGAUUAGCUAGUAGGUGGGGUAACGGCUCACCUAGGCGACGAUCCCUAGCUGGUCUGAGAGGAUGACCAGCCACACUGGAACUGAGACACGGUCCAG
This 234-nucleotide ribosomal RNA is filed under the name uncultured bacterium. RNAcentral's name for it is "partial 16S ribosomal RNA". It matches the Rfam family "Bacterial small subunit ribosomal RNA", at positions 96 to 334 of the family's 1533-position model. The record is from RNAcentral.